RNAcentral lists this ribosomal RNA (238 nucleotides) under uncultured bacterium. Its description in RNAcentral is "partial 16S ribosomal RNA". It matches the Rfam family "Bacterial small subunit ribosomal RNA", at positions 796 to 1041 of the family's 1533-position model. The record is from RNAcentral.
CACGCCGUAAACGAUGGAUACUAGCUGUUUGGAGCAAUCUGAGUGGCUAAGCGAAAGUGAUAAGUAUCCCACCUGGGGAGUACGCACGCAAGUGUGAAACUCAAAGGAAUUGACGGGGGCCCGCACAAGCGGUGGAGCAUGUGGUUUAAUUCGAUGAUACGCGAGGAACCUUACCAAGGCUUAAAUGGGAGUCGACAGGCGUAGAAAUAUGCUUUUCUUCGGACGAUUUUCAAGGUGC